This 116-nucleotide ribosomal RNA is filed under the name Salmonella enterica subsp. enterica serovar Typhi. The record is from RNAcentral. Lineage: Bacteria; Pseudomonadati; Pseudomonadota; Gammaproteobacteria; Enterobacterales; Enterobacteriaceae.
CCCGGCGGCACUAGCGCGGUGGUCCCACCUGAUCCCAUUCCGAACUCAGAAGUGAAACGAUGCAUCGCCGAUGGUAGUGUGGGGUUUCCCCAUGUGAGAGUAGGGAACUGCCGGGC